Zonotrichia albicollis (white-throated sparrow) is the source of this 1055-nucleotide non-coding RNA. The record is from RefSeq and is a predicted model, not a curated record. Lineage: Eukaryota; Metazoa; Chordata; Aves; Passeriformes; Passerellidae.
UGCGUAUUCGUGUAUGUGUGUGUGUGACAGAGAGAGAGAGGAAGAGAGGGAGAGGAGGGGGAGAUUCAGAGUCCUGCUUUCCUGAGCUGAGAGCUGCUGGUUCCCAAGCCGAAAGUAUUAGGAGAAACACGGCUUCUUGUGUCUUUGCUGCAUUUGCACAAUGAAAUCACUUCUAUUUUUAUUCUUGCUAACCGGCCGCUUUUGCUUGAAUCCACUCCGAGCCAUGGACGACGGGAACAAAAAAAAAAAAAAACUACUUAAAACCAACUAAACCAAAAAAAUAAAAUAAAAAAAAAAGGAAAAGAAAACCCUAACAAACCCAACCACGCUGGGAUGAGGAUUACUCACUUUAGCGCUGCCUGGACCCGGCCGGGCGGCGCGGGUCUGGGAUUGUGCCGGGUUUCAAGGACACGGGAGAUGAUCAGGACUUUGGGAGCCAACAUCUGCCUGGCUGGUGACGUCAGCAACCCCGUGUAAUCCUCUUGUACUGAAGGCAGAUGCCUUAUUUGUUUGGCUGGAGAGGCAUUAAUCCCUAAUUCUGGAGCAGCAAGCGAGGGGGAGAGACCGGACCGCUUCCUAUCCCCCGAAAGCAGCUAGAGGGGCUCUCCUCUCCUGAGCUCCCCGGCUCCGACUGGGUGGAGGAGCCGCCAGCCCUCGGCAGGCGGCCGCACGCAGGAGCUACGGUGCCGAGGGGGCCCGGAGCCGCCUUCCCGGUUUGCCCCCGGAUGCCCCAGCAAGCUACGGGAAAAGUCUCAGGGAAGCCCAGCUCGCCGCAGGAUCCCACCGCCGCCCGCGGCCGCAGCACAUCCCGCCUCGCCUCCUCUCUCUCUCGCGGGCCCUGGCGCCGAGGAAGCAGUCGAGGUCAGCUGUCCGGUUCCUGCGGUCCGGCCGUGCUGGAGCUCGCAGGGUGAUGCGAGGUGCCCGGCUGCUCCGCUCCUCCCGGCGCGCCCUCGGCACCGAAAAGGAAUGAAUGGUCCCGAUCCUGAGCCGUGAAAGAUGGCAAAAAGCGUAAUAAUAAUAAUAAUAUAAUAAAAACUUAGGCUAUUUUUUUUUAA